AUUGAACGCUGGCGGCAUGCCUUACACAUGCAAGUCGAGCGGUAACAGGUCUUCGGAUGCUGACGAGUGGCGAACGGGUGAGUAAUACAUCGGAACGUGCCUAGUAGUGGGGGAUAACUACUCGAAAGAGUGGCUAAUACCGCAUGAGAUCUACGGAUGAAAGCAGGGGAUCGCAAGACCUUGUGCUACUAGAGCGGCCGAUGGCAGAUUAGGUAGUUGGUGGGAUAAAAGCUUACCAAGCCGACGAUCUGUAGCUGGUCUGAGAGGACGAUCAGCCACACUGGGACUGAGAAACGGCCCAGACUCCUACGGGAGGCAGCAGUGGGGAGUUUUGGACAAUGGGCGCAAGCCUGGUCCAGCAAUGCCGCGUGCAGGAUGAAGGCCUUCGGGUUGUAAACUGCUUUUGUACGGAACGAAAAGCCCCGGGUUAAUACCCUGGGGUCAUGACGGUACCGUAAGAAUAAGCACCGGCUAACUACGUGCCAGCAGCCGCCGUAA
This 498-nucleotide ribosomal RNA is filed under the name uncultured bacterium. RNAcentral describes it as "partial 16S ribosomal RNA". It matches the Rfam family "Bacterial small subunit ribosomal RNA", at positions 30 to 523 of the family's 1533-position model. The record is from RNAcentral.